AACCCGACUCCGUGAAGCUGGAUUCGCUAGUAAUCGCGCAUCAGCCAUGGCGCGGUGAAUACGUUCCCGGGCCUUGUACACACCACCCGUCAAGCCAUGGGAGCCGGGGGUGCUUGAAGUGCGUCGCCGCAAGGCGCGCCCUAGAGCAAAACCGGUGACUGGGGCUAAGUCGUAACAAGGUACC
Molecule: ribosomal RNA, 184 nt
Filed under: uncultured bacterium
Lineage: Bacteria
Description: partial 16S ribosomal RNA
Rfam family: Bacterial small subunit ribosomal RNA
Source: RNAcentral